UACGUAGGGUGCGAGCGUUAAUCGGAUUUACUGGGCGUAAAGCGUGCGCAGGCGGCCCGUUAAGACAGGUGUGAAAUCCCUGGGCUCAACCGAGGAAUUGCGCUUGUGACUGGCGGGCUAGAGUGCGGUAGAGGGGGGUGGAAUUCCUGGUGUAGCAGUGAAAUGCGUAGAGAUCAGGAGGAACACCGAUGGCGAAGGCAGCUCCCUGGGCCUGUACUGACGCUCAUGCACGAAAGCGUGGGGAGCAAACAGG
This 253-nucleotide ribosomal RNA is filed under the name uncultured microorganism. RNAcentral describes it as "partial 16S ribosomal RNA". It matches the Rfam family "Bacterial small subunit ribosomal RNA", at positions 524 to 776 of the family's 1533-position model. The record is from RNAcentral.